Molecule: long non-coding RNA, 1015 nt
Organism: Monodelphis domestica (gray short-tailed opossum)
Lineage: Eukaryota; Metazoa; Chordata; Mammalia; Didelphimorphia; Didelphidae
Source: RefSeq, a predicted model, not a curated record
CCCACAUUAGUUCUUUUGCUAAGCCUAGCAAAAUAAAAAUGAUUGGAUCUCCAAUGGGUUGGGCUUGCUGCCCAGAGUCACACAUUUAGAAGCAAGAGAUGUCAGAAGACUCAUGUGACCAAGGAUUCCUCCUAGGCUGGGCAGCCUGGUAGGACCAUAUGGACCAAGAUACUCCCAGGGACUGUGGCCAGAAGGAUUGUGGGAAGGCAACAAAAGAUUCCUCCAGCCCUGCUCCUUGUCUUUCUGCCUUUAUGGGCCUGAUGAUAACAGCUCCCAUUUCUAUCUUUGACAAAGGACAGUAACCCUAUGAGAUCAGAUUGUAACGGAGCAUAGAGUAGAUCUGGAUCUUAGAGCGGAGGAAAACCUGGGCAUUCAUUUAUACAGUCUCUUCCUACUGCAACCCAAAAGAAUUCAGGAGCAUCACCAGCAUCUUGGGGGGAAAAAGAAGGUGAGCCCCAGGUGCUGGGAAGAGAAGCAACCAGGUUUACCUCAAUACAGGGAAGAGAAAACCUUGGACUUUGCCUUCUACAAUUAUCAUGAGUUUUUCAGAUGGAUGGAAAGGGUCGUGGCGGGGGAGUUGUGUCUAUUUUUCUAGCAACAUCAAGUUCUUUUCCUUCUGGGAGAAUCCAAGCCCUUUCGAUAGUCCCAAAAGUCUACAGAUUUAUGUGUAUCCCAGGGAUAAAAGUAAGAUUCACUGGGAUGUUGGAACAUUGCAAGCAAUCUAGAAGAUUAAACCACAGGGAACUGUUAGGAGCCUGGAGAGCAAUGGAGAAACCUGGAAGGAAAGAUGAGAUUCACUGAAGAGAGAAGAGGAUUGCAUUAAUUGCUUAUGGUCUACAGGUUACCAUCCAUCUGGACCCUUCUUAACAUCCUUUGUUGGUUCUUCAUCCAUGUCAUGUCCACCUCCAGUGGGUAUCCCCCAAGGAUCUGUAUUGGGCCCUCUUCUCUUUUGCUUGUAUACCAUCCUAGUGAUUUCAUUGGUUCCCAUCCAUUCAAUUACACUUUCUAUACUGAA